This 254-nucleotide ribosomal RNA is filed under the name Streptomyces sp. ISO279_OTU420. RNAcentral's name for it is "partial 16S ribosomal RNA". It matches the Rfam family "Bacterial small subunit ribosomal RNA", at positions 29 to 289 of the family's 1533-position model. Lineage: Bacteria; Bacillati; Actinomycetota; Actinomycetes; Kitasatosporales; Streptomycetaceae. The record is from RNAcentral.
ACGAACGCUGGCGGCGUGCUUAACACAUGCAAGUCGAACGAUGAAGCCUUCGGGUGGAUUAGUGGCGAACGGGUGAGUAACACGUGGGCAAUCUGCCCUUCACUCUGGGACAAGCCCUGGAAACGGGGUCUAAUACCGGAUAACACUUACCUCCUCCUGGGGGUUGGUUAAAAGCUCCGGCGGUGAAGGAUGAGCCCGCGGCCUAUCAGCUUGUUGGUGGGGUAAUGGCCUACCAAGGCGACGACGGGUAGCCG